GAAACCUCAUCUUGCUCAAGCGCCAUCCGGGCGCCAGAGCAGUGUUUUUUAUAAAACACGGAAUUCCGUCCGGGUGAGGAGAGAGU
Molecule: non-coding RNA, 86 nt
Filed under: unclassified sequences
Description: RAGATH-10 RNA
Rfam family: RAGATH-10 RNA
About the family: RNA motif Associated with Genes Associated with Twister and Hammerhead ribozymes (RAGATH).
Source: Rfam by way of RNAcentral